RNAcentral lists this transfer RNA (62 nucleotides) under Typosyllis antoni. Its description in RNAcentral is "tRNA-Tyr". The record is from RNAcentral. Lineage: Eukaryota; Metazoa; Annelida; Polychaeta; Phyllodocida; Syllidae.
AAUAAAGUGGCCGAAAACAAGCUAAAGAUUGUAAAUCUUUCCAUGGGUAUUCCCCUUUAUUA